RNAcentral lists this long non-coding RNA (246 nucleotides) under Phoenix dactylifera (date palm). Its description in RNAcentral is "long non-coding RNA (PDAC_LNC007109)". The record is from RNAcentral. Lineage: Eukaryota; Viridiplantae; Streptophyta; Magnoliopsida; Arecales; Arecaceae.
GUUGGCGUUGAAUAUUGGCGUUCCUCUGGCAUCGGUCGUAUCUCCGGACGAAGUCUAGCGUAUCCUUAUGGAGCGUCGGGCAAUAAUAUCCCUGGCGUAAUAUCUUAUGCGCCAGUGCUCGGCUUCCCAAAUGGUUUCCGCAAAUUUCUUCAUGGACUUCACGCAUUGCAUAAUCCGCCUCCGACGGAUGGAGGCAUCUGAGGAGGGGGGAGGUAAAAGACCUCCGAUAAAGCUUGCCCUCAUACA